Gymnothorax javanicus (giant moray) is the source of this 74-nucleotide non-coding RNA. NCBI's taxonomy places the organism in Eukaryota, Metazoa, Chordata, Actinopteri, Anguilliformes, Muraenidae. The record is from the annotation of a GenBank genome assembly.
GAGUUGAUGUAGCCUAGUGGUUAGGGUCUCGGCCUGUGACUCAAAAGACAUGGGUUUGAUUCCCAGUCAGUGCA